Molecule: ribosomal RNA, 292 nt
Filed under: uncultured bacterium
Lineage: Bacteria
Description: partial 16S ribosomal RNA
Rfam family: Bacterial small subunit ribosomal RNA
Source: RNAcentral
UUAUCCGGAUUUACUGGGUGUAAAGGGAGCGUAGACGGUUUUGCAAGUCCGAAGUGAAAGCCCGGGGCUUAACCCCGGGACUGCUUUGGAAACUGUAGGACUAGAGUGCGGGAGAGGUAAGUGGAAUUCCUAGUGUAGCGGUGAAAUGCGUAGAUAUUAGGAGGAACACCAGUGGCGAAGGCGGCUUACUGGACUGUAACUGACGUUGAGGCUCGAAAGCGUGGGGAGCACACACGAUUAGAUACCCUGGUAGUCCACGCCGUAAACGAUGAUUACUAGGUGUUGGUGGGUA